Molecule: transfer RNA, 93 nt
Filed under: Candidatus Omnitrophota bacterium
Lineage: Bacteria; Pseudomonadati; Candidatus Omnitrophota
Also listed under: 2 other names
Description: Candidatus Omnitrophica bacterium tRNA-Ser
Rfam family: tRNA
About the family: Transfer RNA (tRNA) molecules are approximately 80 nucleotides in length. Their secondary structure includes four short double-helical elements and three loops (D, anti-codon, and T loops).
Source: RNAcentral
GGAGAGGUGCCGGAGUGGACGAACGGGUGCGACUGGAAAUCGCAUGUUCCGCCAAAAGCGGGACCCAGGGUUCGAAUCCCUGCCUCUCCGCCA